ACGGGUGAGUAAUGUCUGGGGAUCUGCCCGAUAGAGGGGGAUAAUCACUGGAAACGGUGGCUAAUACCGCAUAACGUCGCAAGACCAAAGAGGGGGACCUUCGGGCCUCUCACUAUCGGAUGAACCCAGAUGGGAUUAGCUAGUAGGCGGGGUAACGGCCCACCUAGGCGACGAUCCCUAGCUGGUCUGAGAGGAUGACCAGCCACACUGGAACUGAGACACGGUCCAGACUCCUACGGGAGGCAGCAGUGGGGAAUAUUGCACAAUGGGCGCAAGCCUGAUGCAGCCAUGCCGCGCGUAUGAAGAAGGCCUUCGGGUUGUAAAGUACUUUCAGCGGGGAGGAAGGCGAUAAGGUUAAUAACCUUGUCGAUUGACGUUACCCGCAGAAGAAGCACCGGCUAACUCCGUGCCAGCAGCCGCGGUAAUACGGAGGGUGCAAGCGUUAAUCGGAAUUACUGGGCGUAAAGCGCACGCAGGCGGUCUGUUAAGUCAGAUGUGAAAUCCCCGGGCUUAACCUGGGAACUGCAUUUGAAACUGGCAGGCUUGAGUCUCGUAGAGGGGGGUAGAAUUCCAGGUGUAGC
RNAcentral lists this ribosomal RNA (581 nucleotides) under uncultured bacterium. RNAcentral describes it as "bacterial SSU rRNA". It matches the Rfam family "Bacterial small subunit ribosomal RNA", at positions 102 to 679 of the family's 1533-position model. The record is from RNAcentral.